UUCAAUGAAAAAAAAAAAACGGAAAUGAGGAAAAAUGGCAAAAAAAACGUAAAAAACAACCAUCUCGCCCAGGAAACAUCUCCCAAAGCAUGGCUGCUGCAGUUAAACUUUACGGUGCGUGGAACUCACCGAACACAGGUGAUUCCCAUUGAGACCAGCAUCCAGCACGAUAUUUGAGGAGUGCUGCCUACAAGGUGGCAUACGGGAAGCAACCUGUGUGGGUUCUCUACGGAAGGAAUCACAAGUGACCCCAUCCGCCGCGAAAGACACGCAAAACUUGCAUUCUUGCUGGAACAAUGUGCACCGGGAAUCCCUGUCCAAUUUGCCGGGACAUCAAAGAAAUUCCAUGGAAGUUUUCCCCUUGUUGAAAGUUGGCGUAGGAGGGUUCCUUUUUUGUGCUCUGCAAGCGUUCGUGCGAGUCAGUUGUUCUGAUUCAGCGCAGCUGGUUGCAAUUUUUACGUAAAAAAACAACCAUCUCGCCCAGGAAACAUCUCCCAAAGCAUGGCUGCUGCAGUUUGCUAAAGAUAUUGAGGAGAAGCCCCAGGCGGAAGUUGCUUCAGUUCAUCGUAUUCGCAUCACCCUCACAUCCCGGAAUGUGCGUUCCCUGGAGAAGGUGUGUGCUGACCUGGUGACUGCCGCCAAGAAGCAGAAGCUCCGUGUUGAGGGUCCAGUGCGUAUGCCUACAAAAGUCCUGAAAAUUACCAUCAGAAAGACACCUUGUGGUGAAGGUUCCAAGACCUGAAAUCGUUUUCCAGAUGCGUAUCCACAAGAGGAUGCUUGACAAUCUGCACUCCCCCUCAAAGAUUGUCAAACAGAUUACAUCAAUCAACAUUGAACCAGAUGUAGAGUAGUGCUCAGUGGCCUGAUGUACCCACUCUACGCGGCGGAAGGACAGAAGAAGGCUUAAAAUUCUCUAAA
Lutzomyia longipalpis is the source of this 918-nucleotide long non-coding RNA. RefSeq lists it as uncharacterized. The record is from RefSeq and is a predicted model, not a curated record. The transcript is spliced from 5 exons. NCBI's taxonomy places the organism in Eukaryota, Metazoa, Arthropoda, Insecta, Diptera, Psychodidae.